UGGAAUGCUUUAUGCGUAAAAUGGAUUCGUCUGCCCAAGGAUGGGUCUGCGGCCUAUCAGGUAGUAGUGGGUGUAAUGUACCUACUAGCCUACGACGGGUACGGGUUGUGAGAGCAAGAGCCCGGAGAUGGAUUCUGAGACAUGAAUCCAGGCCCUACGGGGCGCAGCAGGCGCGAAAACUUUACAAUGCGGGAAACCGUGAUAAGGGGACACCGAGUGCCAGCAUCAUAUGCUGGCUGUCCAGAUGUGUAAAAUACAUCUGUUAGCAAGGGCCGGGCAAGACCGGUGUCAGCCGCCGCGGUAACACCGGCGGCCCGAGUGGUGAUCGUGAUUAUUGGGUCUAAAGGGUCCGUAGCCGGUUUGGUCAGUCCUCCGGGAAAUCUGAUGGCUCAACCAUUAGGCUUUCGGGGGAUACUGCCAGGCUUGGAACCGGGAGAGGUAAGAGGUACUACAGGGGUAGGAGUGAAAUCUUGUAAUCCCUGUGAGACCACCUGUGGCGAAGGCGUCUUACCAGAACGGGUUCGACGGUGAGGGACGAAAGCUGGGGGCACGAACCGGAUUAGAUACCCGGGUAGUCCCAGCCGUAAACGAUGCUCGCUAGGUGUCAGGCAUGGCGCGACCGUGUCUGGUGCCGCAGGGAAGCC
RNAcentral lists this ribosomal RNA (644 nucleotides) under uncultured archaeon. RNAcentral describes it as "bacterial SSU rRNA". It matches the Rfam family "Archaeal small subunit ribosomal RNA", at positions 171 to 813 of the family's 1478-position model. The record is from RNAcentral.